RNAcentral lists this ribosomal RNA (704 nucleotides) under Phytophthora megasperma. RNAcentral's name for it is "eukaryotic LSU rRNA". The stretch from base 167 to 321 matches the Rfam family "5.8S ribosomal RNA". Lineage: Eukaryota; Oomycota; Peronosporomycetes; Peronosporales; Peronosporaceae. The record is from RNAcentral.
GGCGUGUGUGCUGGCCUGUAAUGGGUCGGCGUGCUGCUGCUGGGCGGGCUCUAUCAUGGGCGAGCGUUUGGGCUUCGGCUCGAGCUAGUAGCUAUCAAUUUUUAAACCCUUUCUUAAAUACUGAACAUACUGUGGGGACGAAAGUCUCUGCUUUUAACUAGAUAGCAACUUUCAGCAGUGGAUGUCUAGGCUCGCACAUCGAUGAAGAACGCUGCGAACUGCGAUACGUAAUGCGAAUUGCAGGAUUCAGUGAGUCAUCGAAAUUUUGAACGCAUAUUGCACUUCCGGGUUAGUCCUGGGAGUAUGCCUGUAUCAGUGUCCGUACAUCAACCUUGGUUUUCUUCCUUCCGUGUAGUCGGUGGAGGAUAUGCCAGACGUGAAGUGUCUUGCUAGCGGUCUUUCGAGUCUGCCGGUGAGUCCUUUUAAAUGUACUGAACUGUACUCUCUCUUUGCGCGAAAAGCGUGGCGUUGCUGGUUGUGGAGGCUGCCCGUGUGGCCAGUCGGCGACCGGUUUGUUAGCUGUGGCGUUUGGAGGAGUGUUCGAUUCGCGGUAUGGUUGGCUUCGGCUGAACAAUCUGCUUAUUGGGUGCUUUUCCUGUCAGGCGGUAUGAACUGGUGAACCGUAGCUGUUGGUGCUUGGCUUUUGAACCGGCUUUGCUUUGCGAAGUAGUGUGGCGGCUUCGGCUGUCGAGGGGUCGAUCCAU